RNAcentral lists this ribosomal RNA (579 nucleotides) under uncultured fungus. RNAcentral's name for it is "eukaryotic LSU rRNA". The stretch from base 235 to 388 matches the Rfam family "5.8S ribosomal RNA". Lineage: Eukaryota; Fungi. The record is from RNAcentral.
AAGUCGUAACAAGGUUUCCGUAGGUGAACCUGCGGAAGGAUCAUUACUAUUCGGUAGUUUACUACCGUUUUGAAAGGGGUGGAAACUUCUCUGGCGUUCCCGGAGAGGAGUACACCUUUUUCCUUAACCCUUGACUUUGCGCACUCAUGUUUCCUCGGUAGGCUUGCCUGCCGAACGGACAAAUCUAUAACCUUUUUACUACUCAUUCAGCGUCUGAACAAUUAUAAUAAUUACAACUUUCAACAACGGAUCUCUUGGUUCUGGCAUCGAUGAAGAACGCAGCGAAAUGCGAUAAGUAGUGUGAAUUGCAGAAUUCAGUGAAUCAUCGAAUCUUUGAACGCACAUUGCGCCCCUUGGUAUUCCAUGGGGCAUGCCUGUUCGAGCGUCAUUUGUACUCUCAAGCCUUGCUUGGUGUUGGGUGCUUGUCUUUGCUCUGCCUAGACCCUCCCUAAAUACAUUGGCAGCCGAUAUAUUGGUUUGAAGCGCAGCACAAUUGCUAUUCAAGCUUGGUUUAUCAGCAUCCACAAAGAAUCAUAACACUUUUGACCUCGGAUCAGGUAGGGAUACCCGCUGAACUUA